This 441-nucleotide ribosomal RNA is filed under the name uncultured bacterium. Its description in RNAcentral is "partial 16S ribosomal RNA". It matches the Rfam family "Bacterial small subunit ribosomal RNA", at positions 338 to 795 of the family's 1533-position model. The record is from RNAcentral.
CCUACGGGCGGCAGCAGUGGGGAAUAUUGCACAAUGGGGGAAACCCUGAUGCAGCAACGCCGCGUGAGUGAGGAAGUAUUUCGGUAUGUAAAGCUCUAUCAGCAGGGAAUAGAAAAGAAGGUACCUGAAACAGAAGCCCCGGCUAACUACGUGCCAGCAGCCGCGGUAAUACGUAGGGGGCACGCGUUAUCCGGAUUUACUGGGUGUAAAGGGAGCGUAGACGGCAGUGCAAGUCUGGAGUGAAAGGCGGGGGCUCAACCCCCGGACUGCUCUGGAAACUGUACGGCUGGAGUGCAGGAGAGGUAAGUGGAAUGCGUAGUGUAGCGGUGAAAUGCGUAGAUAUUAGGAGGAACAACAGUGGCGAAGGCGGCUUACUGGACUGUAACUGACGUUGAGGCUCGAAAGCGUGGGGAGCAAACAGGAUUAGAUACCCCGGUAGUC